CGUGAACACGUGAGAGUAUUAUAGUCGAUAACUACGUGAUUAUCACGUGUAUUACUACUUUAAAAUCAUAUUACUACAGAACUGAAGCGAAAUAUCCCUUAGUUGAUGGAUAUUCCAGUUUGAACGCGUUUCAAGAAAUGUCCAGGCCGGUGUAAAUAUUGGCCUAUUUAAUAUUUAGACAAUACGGAUUGAGGCUGCCCGCUCGGUGACUGCACCUUACUCCUGUGGUGCAGAAACUUAUCAUCUUUCUGACCAGCCGAAAAGACAUCUGCGAAAUUUAUCAGGUGGACUGCUGCAGGUGAGAGAGAUAAUAAAUCGUCAGGUCAACAGAGCCAGGAUACCGAGCAUGUGCAGAAGGGCCAUCAUGCACAAUGAUGUCACAGUCACUUGAUGUCAGUGCUUUAAUCACACACACUCCACGAGGUUGCCGUGGUUACCGAUGAUCAGCCUGACAGCAGCUUUAUCUUACAAGAGUUCUUGAGACUUUUGCAGUACAAUGAAGGGUGAAAGAUCCCAGUGCUGAACCUAGCACAUCACAAAGAAGCUAAACGUGGAGACUUUAGAAGAUGUACUAUUGGAUUAAAUGGAUGACAAAAUAAAUCAUUAUUUGAAAGUCUGCUUAAUAACUGGCGGGUGACAUUUAUAGCAUGGAUUCCUAAAACACCCAUUCUGUUGUUAAUAUAGACCAUCUGUAUUUAUUCUGUGGAAUUGAUCUAAUUUUAUGCAGUAUAAACUCGAGCUUUCUAAUUUCUGAGAUUUCACACAAACCCCCCCAACAUUUGUCCUGUUUGGAUAUUGUUUUUUUUUUAUGUGGCAACAUUGCUUCAGUUUAGUAGUUGACAAUGGAGAUAGAGCAGGCGUUUUCUGACUUGUUGACAGAGUUUGAGAGUGAGACAGCUCUGAUUGCAGCUGUAGAUUCUGACCCGGACUCUAGUGAGGAGGACGAUGAGGUGGACUCCACGGAGAGAAGAACCGCAAUAAAGACAAAACAACCAUUGGCUGAUCACAACUCUGUGUUCAUUUCUAACAGUAAACACAGGCUUAUUGCAUCUGAU
Molecule: long non-coding RNA, 1055 nt
Organism: Gigantopelta aegis
Lineage: Eukaryota; Metazoa; Mollusca; Gastropoda; Neomphalida; Peltospiridae
Exons: 3
Source: RefSeq, a predicted model, not a curated record